This 2501-nucleotide long non-coding RNA is filed under the name Homo sapiens (human). RNAcentral describes it as "LHRI_LNC1221.1". Lineage: Eukaryota; Metazoa; Chordata; Mammalia; Primates; Hominidae. The record is from RNAcentral.
CGCUGGGUCCCCUUCCACACUGUGGAAGUUUUGUUCUUUCACUCUUUGCAAUAAAUCUUGCUGCUGCACACUCUUUGGGUCCACACUGCUUUUAUGAGCUGUAACACUCACCGCGAAGGUCCGCAGCUUCACUCCUGAAGCCAGCGAGACCACGAGCCCACCGGGAGGAACGAAUGACUCCAGAGGCGCCGCCUUAAGAGCUGUAACACUCACUGCCAAGGUCUGCAGCUUCACUGCUAAGCCAGCGAGACCACAAACCCACCAGAAGGAAGAAACUCCGAACACAUCUGAACAUCAGAAGGAACAAACUACAGACGCGCCACCUUAAGAGUUGUAACACUCACCGCGAGGGUCUGCAGCUUCAUUCUGGAAGUCAGUGAGGCCAAGAACCCACCAAUUCCGGACACACUGUUGCUUAAGAUAAGACGGAGUCUCGCUCUGUCACCCAGGCAGGAGUGCAAUGGUGCGGUCUCGGCUCACUGCAACCUCUGCCUCCCUGGUUCAAGUGAUUCUCCUGCCUCAGCCUCCCAAGUAGCUGGGAUUACAGGCAUGCGCCACCACGCCUGGCUAAUUUUUGUACUUUUAGUAAAGACGGGGUUUCACCAUGUUGGCCAGGCUGGUCUCGAACUUCUGACCUCGCGAUCCACCCGCCUCGGCCUCCCAGAGCACUGGAAUUACAGGGGUGAGCCACCGCACCCAGCCACUCAUGAUCUUAUUUCAGUCUAGACUAACCUUAUCCAUCUUCUCAUGUAAAAAUGCCACUCUGCUCAAAUGUCUGUUCCUCCAGCAAAUUUCAUCACUCCUGGUCCAUCACACAUCCUGAUAAUCAGCCAGCAUCCAUUUAUCUGUGUCUCUUUCUGUCUCUUACAGGAGUAAUAGAUGCAUGUGUUUUAUUCUUCAUUUAAGGAAGGAUCUGUUUCUACUUUUUAAAAACAGCCUUUAUUAAGAGCUCAGUGCCAUUCAUAAAUAUCAUCUUAUUUCAUCCUAACAAUGGUAGGUACUAUAACUUAGAGGCUAGUAUCCAAAUUUCCACAUAAGGAAAUUAGCUCAAAAGGUUAAAUGACUUCCUCAAGAUUAUACAACUAGCAAGUUGUAUCCUAAACAUCAAAGUCAGAUUUUGAAACAAACUCUUCAACCCAACUACUAUGCAUUUCUCAUUUCUAUCACUAAGAGAAAGACUCCACCACCAAGUUUAUAGAGAAUAGGUACACAAUAAGUAUGUGUUUAAUAAAUAGCUUCUAUCUUGCUUUUGCUAUAUUUCUGUGACUACAUGUUUACACUUGAGUAAACACACUCAUACAUUGUGUAGAUGUACAUAUACAGUGCACAAUUUUCAAUGUAUGUGUUCCAAAUGUUUAAUUGUAACUCAAUUAUUUGAGAUGCAAAACACAUUUUCUACAAUGUCACAUAAAGAGGGUAUGAUAUUACAUAUACCACUGAAGGCCUGCUAAACACAAAAAGUAUCACAAAACAGGUAGCCACCAAAUAUGCAAUGUUUUAUUUGAGCAUAUAUUCCUAGUAUGGUUUUCUGUUGAGCCAGGAGCCCACACUUUCCAUUGUCUGACUACCCCAGCUUAUGAGGAUGUGAGGAUAAGAACCUUCCCAGGUGUGUAAAUGCUCCAGAUAUAUUACAGGCCAUAACUGCAUGUUGACAGGGACCAUAAAUACAUGUGGUACAUGAUGAGUAUGAUACGUGACACCUGUCAUGUAAGCUCUAAGAAAGCAGAGAUUCUUGUUUUGUUCAUUUAUGUAUCCCAAAUCUCUAGAACAGUGCCUGAGACUUAACAGUGUCACUUAGUAGGCACUUAAUACUAAAUAUUUUUAAAUAAUAAAAAUGAACACUUUAUGGACCUUGUUAGCAGCUUCUUCCCUUUUUACAUUACCAGAAAAAAUGGCAGUAACUAAAACACUGGAUGUGGUAAUUUCCAAAUGAAGUCUUAAAAAUCUGAGUGCAGUGGCAUGUACCUGUAGUCCCAGCUACUUUUGAGGCUGAGACAGGAGGAUCACUUGAGCCCAGGAAUUCGAAGCCAGCCUAGGCAACAAAGCGAGACCUAAGAGUAUUCAGACCCACUCACAUGCAGGCAUAAUCUUGACUCCACUGUAUAAGGAAGAAUGAGUAAAUGACAAAAUUCUAAAAGAGAUCAUUAAAGUGGCUUCAAGAAUGGAACACUGGACCCAGAUAACAAAAGGCUUUAAAAAUGACAUGAUUUGGUCUAGUUGAGAGCUGACCUAGAACAUGUAUUGAAUCUGUGAGUCAUUUUUACACAGAGGUGGCUGACCAUGUGAGCCUUGUCCCUACUGGGAACAGAACACAGAGUUCUAGACUGAAGUUACCAGAUGGGAAUGGAAAAGACAGAUUUAAGUUAAAUGGAAGAAUAUAUUUUGAGGUGGAGCGUAUGGCCUUACAGAGAUUUAGGUUACCAAGGUAAAUUGUGAAAUUUGAAGAAUAGCAGAAAUGCUCUUUUUGAAUUGUUUAAACAUCACACACACUAGAGGCAGGG